GAAACGCGAACCAAGCAGCCGCCCACCAGUGGCAUGAGACUUGGAGCUGGCCUCGGUAACGAGACCAUGCA
This 71-nucleotide non-coding RNA is filed under the name unclassified sequences. Its description in RNAcentral is "Transposase-2 RNA". It matches the Rfam family "Transposase-2 RNA". The record is from Rfam by way of RNAcentral.